This 57-nucleotide transfer RNA is filed under the name Odocoileus virginianus texanus. It matches the Rfam family "tRNA", at positions 8 to 63 of the family's 71-position model. Rfam says of the family: Transfer RNA (tRNA) molecules are approximately 80 nucleotides in length. Their secondary structure includes four short double-helical elements and three loops (D, anti-codon, and T loops). RNAcentral also lists the same sequence under 7 other names. The record is from Rfam by way of RNAcentral. Lineage: Eukaryota; Metazoa; Chordata; Mammalia; Artiodactyla; Cervidae.
UAGCUCAGAUGGUAAAGAAUCUGCCUGCAAUGCAGGAGACCCAGGUUCGAUCCCUGG